This 433-nucleotide ribosomal RNA is filed under the name uncultured bacterium. RNAcentral describes it as "partial 16S ribosomal RNA". It matches the Rfam family "Bacterial small subunit ribosomal RNA", at positions 29 to 507 of the family's 1533-position model. The record is from RNAcentral.
AACGAACGCUGGCGGCAUGCCUAACACAUGCAAGUCGAACGAGACCUUCGGGUCUAGUGGCGCACGGGUGCGUACCGCGUGGGAACCUGCCCUUAGGUUCGGAAUAACUCCCCGCAAGGGGUGCUAAUACCGGCUAAUGUCUUCGGACCACAGAUUUAUCGCCUUUGGAUGGGCCCGCGUUGGGUUAGCUAGUUGGUAGGGUAAAAGCCUACUAAGGCGACGUUCCAUAGCUGGUCUGAGAGGAUGAUCAGCCAAACUGGGACUGAGACACGGCCCAGACUCGUACGGGAGGCAGCAGUGUGGAAUAUUGGACAACGGGCGAAAGCCUGAUGGAGCAAUGACGCGUGAGGGGUGAAGGGAUUAGUGUUGUAAAGCUCUUUUACCCGGGAUGAUAAUGACAGUACCGGGAGAAUAAGCCCCGGCUAACUCCGUG